GAAAUGCGAUAAGUCAUGUGAAUUGCAGAAUUCCGUGAAUCAUCGAAUCUUUGAACGCACAUUGCGCCCUCUGGCAUUCCGGGGGGCAUGCCUGUCCGAGCGUCAUUACGCACCCUCAAGCCCGGCUUGUGUGAUGGGCCCCGGCGUCUCGUUCGCGAGACGGGCCCGAAAGGCAGCGGCGGCGUCGACCCGAUGAGCCCGAGCGUAUGGGGACUUCUGUCACACGUUCGCGGUGCGGACCGGCGCCUGCUUGACUUUUCUGAUUAUCCAGGUUGACCUCGGAUCAGGUAGGGAUACCCGCUGAACUUAAGC
Molecule: unclassified non-coding RNA, 312 nt
Filed under: plant metagenome
Description: partial contains 5.8S ribosomal RNA, internal transcribed spacer 2, and large subunit ribosomal RNA
Rfam family: 5.8S ribosomal RNA (bases 1-105)
Source: RNAcentral